RNAcentral lists this long non-coding RNA (573 nucleotides) under Daucus carota (carrot). RNAcentral describes it as "long non-coding RNA (DCAR_LNC003379)". Lineage: Eukaryota; Viridiplantae; Streptophyta; Magnoliopsida; Apiales; Apiaceae. The record is from RNAcentral.
UGACAUUUCUUUUCUUGUAGUCCUUUCAAAUCUAUUAUUUUUUAUGUAUAAGUAAUUGUAAAACUUGAAUGUGGAAGAACAUUAAACUCUUGCCUUACAUGAUAAUAAUCAGGUUAUUAUCAUUUACUUAACUUUCAUUGUGGAAAAAGUUAUAUACAUACGGCAAAUAAUUGCUGCACACCCCAAGAGGUAAAGAUCAUGCAAGAACUAAAGCAUUACCAAUUAUGAUGAAGUAAUUGUAAAACUUGAAUGUGGAAGAACAUUAAACUCUUGCCUUACAUGAUAAUAAUCAGGUUUUACAUGGAUUUCAUAUUCACACAUACAAACUUAAACUGUGAUCAGCUUUAGCGAUACCCAUCCUUACGGUCUUGUUCCUCUGCCUCCUUAUUUGCAGCUUCAACAGAUUUAUACCACAAAAAUCCCUGUGUUUAAAUACAAGUCAGUACAAGUAUCUGAUGCAAAGCAUGACAUGUAAAACUAUAUAUGAUUUGUGUUGCAGAUGUGUACAUCAAAGUCCUAUUUCAUUUCUAAGUAACCACUAGCCAUACCCUAUUUUGUUUUUUGGGAUAAAAU